This 244-nucleotide ribosomal RNA is filed under the name uncultured bacterium. Its description in RNAcentral is "partial 16S ribosomal RNA". It matches the Rfam family "Bacterial small subunit ribosomal RNA", at positions 113 to 353 of the family's 1533-position model. The record is from RNAcentral.
ACACGUGGGUAACCUGCCUUAUAGUGGGGGAUAGCCUUUCGAAAGGAAGAUUAAUACCGCAUAAGAUUGUAGUAUCGCAUGAUAUAGCAAUUAAAGGAGCAAUUCGCUAUAAGAUGGACCCGCGUCGCAUUAGCUAGUUGGUGAGGUAACGGCUCACCAAGGCGACGAUGCGUAGCCGACCUGAGAGGGUGAUCGGCCACAUUGGGACUGAGACACGGCCCAGACUCCUACGGGAGGCAGCAUG